Molecule: long non-coding RNA, 204 nt
Filed under: Setaria italica (foxtail millet)
Lineage: Eukaryota; Viridiplantae; Streptophyta; Magnoliopsida; Poales; Poaceae
Description: long non-coding RNA (SITA_LNC006884)
Source: RNAcentral
AUAGGGUAGCCGACGUGCCUUCCCAACGAGCAAGUGGGUCUCCGCCUAGCCUCUCCCGGAUGCUCUUUGCCGCUCCUUAGUUGAGUUUCGGCAAAACGCAAAGGGCCUCUUCUUCCUUUCAUAUGCACCAGCGGCCACUCCACAAACACAGUUGGAGGGUCUCACAAGACUUACAAGCUCCAGAUUUACAACAUUUGAUGCGCG